UUGAACGCUAGCGGGAUGCUUUACACCUGCAAGUCGAACGGCAGCGCGGACUUCGGUCUGGCGGCGAGUGGCGAACGGGUGAGUAAUGUAUCGGAACGUGCCCAGUAGCGGGGGAUAACUACGCGAACGCGUAGCUAAUACCGCAUACGCCCUACGGGGGAAAGCAGGGGAUCGUAAGACCUUGCACUAUUGGAGCGGCCGAUAUCGGAUUAGCUAGUUGGUGAGGUAACGGCUCACCAAGGCGACGAUCCGUAGCUGGUUUGAGAGGACGACCAGCCACACUGGGACUGAGACACGGCCCAGACUCCUACGGGAGGCAGCAGUGGGGAAUUUUGGACAAUGGGGGCAACCCUGAUCCAGCCAUCCCGCGUGUGCGAUGAAGGCCUUCGGGUUGUAAAGCACUUUUGGCAGGAAAGAAACGUCGCGGGCUAAUACCCCGUGGAACUGACGGUACCUGCAGAAUAAGCACCGGCUAACUACGUG
This 483-nucleotide ribosomal RNA is filed under the name uncultured bacterium. Its description in RNAcentral is "partial 16S ribosomal RNA". It matches the Rfam family "Bacterial small subunit ribosomal RNA", at positions 30 to 507 of the family's 1533-position model. The record is from RNAcentral.